GGCGGAAUAGCUCAGUUGGCUAGAGCAUUCGGUUCAUACCCGACAGGUCAUGUGUUCAAGUCACAUUUCCGCCACCA
This 77-nucleotide transfer RNA is filed under the name Clostridia bacterium. Its description in RNAcentral is "tRNA-Met". It matches the Rfam family "tRNA". From Rfam's summary of the family: Transfer RNA (tRNA) molecules are approximately 80 nucleotides in length. Their secondary structure includes four short double-helical elements and three loops (D, anti-codon, and T loops). The record is from RNAcentral. Lineage: Bacteria; Bacillati; Bacillota; Clostridia.